RNAcentral lists this ribosomal RNA (465 nucleotides) under uncultured bacterium. RNAcentral describes it as "partial 16S ribosomal RNA". It matches the Rfam family "Bacterial small subunit ribosomal RNA", at positions 28 to 507 of the family's 1533-position model. The record is from RNAcentral.
GACGAACGCUGGCGGCGUGCUUAACACAUGCAAGUCGUACGGUAAGGCCCUUUCGGGGGUUCACGAGUGGCGAACGGGUGAGUAACACGUGAGUAACCUGCCCACAACUUUGGGAUAACGCUAGGAAACUGGUGCUAAUACUGGCUAUGUUCUCCUGCUGCAUGGUGGGGGUUGGAAAGCUCCGGCGGUUGUGGAUGGACUCGCGGCCUAUCAGCUUGUUGGUGGGGUAGUGGCCUACCAAGGCGGCGACGGGUAGCCGGCCUGAGAGGGUGACCGGCCACAUUGGGACUGAGAUACGGCCCAGACUCCUACGGGAGGCAGCAGUGGGGAAUAUUGCACAAUGGGCGCAAGCCUGAUGCAGCAACGCCGCGUGCGGGAUGACGGCCUUCGGGUUGUAAACCGCUUUCAGCAGGGACGAAGCUUUUUGUGACGGUACCUGCAGAAGAAGCACCGGCUAACUACGUG